This 73-nucleotide transfer RNA is filed under the name Sphaerodactylus townsendi. Its description in RNAcentral is "tRNA-Ala". Lineage: Eukaryota; Metazoa; Chordata; Lepidosauria; Squamata; Sphaerodactylidae. The record is from RNAcentral.
GUAACUUAUGACUCAGUGACAGAGCAUCUGCUUGGCAUGCAAAAUAUCCCUGGUUCAAUCCCUGGUAUCUCCA